AUUGAACGCUGGCGGCAUGCCUUACACAUGCAAGUCGAACGGCAGCACGGGUGCUUGCACCUGGUGGCGAGUGGCGAACGGGUGAGUAAUACAUCGGAACAUGUCCUGUAGUGGGGGAUAGCCCGGCGAAAGCCGGAUUAAUACCGCAUACGAUCUACGGAUGAAAGCGGGGGACCUUCGGGCCUCGCGCUAUAGGGUUGGCCGAUGGCUGAUUAGCUAGUUGGUGGGGUAAAGGCCUACCAAGGCGACGAUCAGUAGCUGGUCUGAGAGGACGACCAGCCACACUGGGACUGAGGCACGGCCCAGACUCCUACGGGAGGCAGCAGUGGGGAAUUUUGGACAGUGGGCGAAAGCCUGAUCCAGCAAUGCCGCGUGUGUGAAGAAGGCCUUCGGGUUGUAAAGCACUUUUGUCCGGAAAGAAAUCCUUGGCCCUAAUACGGUCGGGGGAUGACGGUACCGGAAGAAUAAGCACCGGCUAACUACGU
RNAcentral lists this ribosomal RNA (485 nucleotides) under uncultured bacterium. Its description in RNAcentral is "partial 16S ribosomal RNA". It matches the Rfam family "Bacterial small subunit ribosomal RNA", at positions 30 to 506 of the family's 1533-position model. The record is from RNAcentral.